AAGAGUGCUGAUUCUACAGACCAGGAAGUGAUAAAUAAUGUGCUUUAAACUCAGUAGAACAUGUCUUUCAUAAGGAAAAGCCUCUCAUAACGAAAUGAGAAGAUUAAAGCAGUGAUUUCACAUAGUUGUCAUUAAGUAUUUGGGACUCUGAUGCAGAUAAAGACUGCAGAAUACUUAGGAUACAAAGCUUUCUGGGCCAGAAAUUGAUCUUCUGACUUUUGAGUCUUAUCUGAUUGCUACUUGGUUCAUCUUUAUUUUGUUAAAGUACUCUCUACAGGCUGAACCUGGGAGACCCUCCAUUGUUUGCAGAGCUUGACCAGACAGGAAUUCUGGCAGCUGCUCCAGCAGAACUAUGGCAGUGAGCUAGGCUUAAAUGCUGAAGAGAUGGAAAACUUGUCUCUGUCCAUCGAGGAUAAUGUGCAGCCAAGAAGUCCAGGAAGAAGUAGCUUGGAUGACUGUGGGGAGAGAGAUGAAAAAUUUUCCAAGUCCAUCAGUUUUACCCGAGAAUCAGUUAAUCCGGUUUCAGAAGCAGAGUCAAUUGAUGGAAAUCCAC
Molecule: non-coding RNA, 553 nt
Organism: Leptonychotes weddellii (Weddell seal)
Lineage: Eukaryota; Metazoa; Chordata; Mammalia; Carnivora; Phocidae
Source: RefSeq, a predicted model, not a curated record